Molecule: ribosomal RNA, 497 nt
Filed under: uncultured bacterium
Lineage: Bacteria
Description: partial 16S ribosomal RNA
Rfam family: Bacterial small subunit ribosomal RNA
Source: RNAcentral
GAUGGACGCUGGCGGCGUGCCUAAUACAUGCAAGUAGAACGCUGAAGGAAGGAGCUUGCUCUUUCCGGAUGAGUUGCGAACGGGUGAGUAACGCGUAGGUAACCUGCCUGGUAGCGGGGGAUAACUAUUGGAAACGAUAGCUAAUACCGCAUAACAGUAGAUGUUGCAUGAUAUCUACUUAAAAGGUGCAAUUGCACCACUACCAGAUGGACCUGCGUUGUAUUAGCUAGUUGGUGAGGUAACGGCUCACCAAGGCGACGAUACAUAGCCGACCUGAGAGGGUGAUCGGCCACACUGGGACUGAGACACGGCCCAGACUCCUACGGGAGGCAGCAGUAGGGAAUCUUCGGCAAUGGACGGAAGUCUGACCGAGCAACGCCGCGUGAGUGAAGAAGGUUGUCGGAUCGUAAAGCUCUGUUGUAAGAGAAGAACGAGUGUGAGAGUGGAAAGUUCACACUGUGACGGUAUCUUACCAGAAAGGGACGGCUAACUACGUG